Molecule: unclassified non-coding RNA, 516 nt
Filed under: uncultured Glomus
Lineage: Eukaryota; Fungi; Glomeromycota; Glomeromycetes; Glomerales; Glomeraceae
Description: SSU rRNA
Rfam family: Eukaryotic small subunit ribosomal RNA
Source: RNAcentral
AGCAGCCGCGGUAAUUCCAGCUCCAAUAGCGUAUAUUAAAGUUGUUGCAGUUAAAAAGCUCGUAGUUGAAUUUCGGGAUCAAUAUGUUGGUCGUGCCUCGGUACGUACUAGCAUAUUGGUUUCUCCUUUCUGAAGAACCAUGAUGUCAUUUAUUUGGUGUCUUGGGGAAUCAGGACUGUUACUUUAGAAAAAUUAGAGUGUUUAAAGCAGGCUCACGCUUGAAUACAUUAGCAUGGAAUAAUGAAAUAGGACGUUUGAUUCUAUUUUGUUGGUUUCUAGGAUCGACGUAAUGAUUAAUAGGGAUAGUUGGGGGCAUUAGUAUUCAAUUGUCAGAGGUGAAAUUCUUGGAUUUAUUGAAGACUAACUACUGCGAAAGCAUUUGCCAAGGAUGUUUUCAUUAAUCAAGAACGAAAGUUAGGGGAUCGAAGACGAUCAGAUACCGUCGUAGUCUUAACCAUAAACUAUGCCGACUAGGGAUCGGAUGAUGUUAAUUUUUAAUGACUCAUUCGGCUACCG